Molecule: ribosomal RNA, 253 nt
Filed under: uncultured bacterium
Lineage: Bacteria
Description: partial 16S ribosomal RNA
Rfam family: Bacterial small subunit ribosomal RNA
Source: RNAcentral
UACGGAGGGGGCUAGCGUUGUUCGGAAUUACUGGGCGUAAAGGGCGUGUAGGCGGCCUGCCAAGUCAGACGUGAAAGCCCCGGGCUUAACCUGGGAACUGCAUUUGAGACUGGCCGGCUCGAGGUUGGAAGAGGAGAGUGGAAUUCCCAGUGUAGAGGUGAAAUUCGUAGAUAUUGGGAAGAACACCGGUGGCGAAGGCGGCUCUCUGGUCCACACCUGACGCUGAGGCGCGAAAGCGUGGGGAGCAAACAGG